UACGUAGGGGGCGAGCGUUGUCCGGAUUCAUUGGGCGUAAAGAGCUCGUAGGCGGCUUGGCUAGUCGGGUGUGAAAACUCCAGGCUCAACCUGGAGACGCCACUCGAUACUGCCAUGGCUAGAGUCCGGUAGGGGAUCACGGAAUUCCUGGUGUAGCGGUGAAAUGCGCAGAUAUCAGGAGGAACACCCGUGGCGAAGGCGGUGGUCUGGGCCGGAACUGACGCUGAGGAGCGAAAGCGUGGGUAGCAAACAGG
This 254-nucleotide ribosomal RNA is filed under the name uncultured bacterium. Its description in RNAcentral is "partial 16S ribosomal RNA". It matches the Rfam family "Bacterial small subunit ribosomal RNA", at positions 524 to 776 of the family's 1533-position model. The record is from RNAcentral.